Long non-coding RNA from Cairina moschata (Muscovy duck), 2404 nucleotides. NCBI's taxonomy places the organism in Eukaryota, Metazoa, Chordata, Aves, Anseriformes, Anatidae. The record is from Ensembl.
CACUAAAAACACCUGGCGAGAGACUGGGCUUCAGGCUGGUGGCAUCCUCAAACCGCCUGCUCCGAGCCGCUGCUCCUCUUUGUAAAUUCAGAGGGCGUCCCCCCGGCCCCGCAGAAGUGAUGUAUUCAUGUCCUUAUUUUAUAGAAAUUUUAUAGAUUUCCUAUAAUCAACUUCUCUGGCUUUUGCUAAAGGUUACUUUGGGGCCUUUUUGAUUUUUAAACAGAACAAAGAGAUGGAUUUAGCCCUCCUUGAUUUAAAUAAAAGGUGUCAGGACUUUUGGGUCACAAAACACCAGGACGAGGAGGGCUUGUGGGCUGCAGAAGCGGCCGCCUUCUGCUUCCAGAGCGGCAGCAAUUAUCUAAAUUACCUGAAUUAUCUGAAUUAUCCUUACGUCUCCCCCGGGACGGGAUACCCAGCUAGAAAGUGGGACCACCAGAAUAGCGCUGGGGCGGGAGAGAAAACCCAGCCGGCGUAGCACAGCCGUGGGCAAGAAAUGGUUUCCUGGCCAUCCCCGUGUACAAAGCUGCAGGACGCCGUGCGCCCCCUCCCAGGGUCCGAGCCGCCCCCCGGCCUCCAGCGCCGUGCGCCGCGGCCGCAUGCAGUCGCGUGUUGGUGCCAUCACCCCCGGAUCGCUCCCCGGCCGGGAAGCCACCUCGAGACGUCCCCGAAGACCCCAAAGAUGUGCCGGUGGCUGGAGCGAAGGGAAAAAGGGACCAAAAACCUACCGGGACCGGCCGCCCCGGUGUGCCCCGUGCCCCCCGGCCCCGCGGAUAAUAGCGGGGCUGCGGGGGCGAUUUCACGGAGAUUAACCCCGCGCCUCGCGCUGGGGCUGCCGCUGCCCUCGACACCACUCCCCGAGUGUAUCAAAGGCGGAUUACAACCAGAUCAGCCCCGUGGCCGGAUUUAUUAGCGGCAAUUUAUCACGCGGAGGCAGCCGGGGAGGGUGGAAGGCCAAGGGCAGGGGCGGAGGAGCCCGGCCUCCCUGCGGGGACCCGCGGCAUCGGCGGGGAGACCCCGGUUGAAUUUUUGGGACGGGGUCGCUGUUUCCUCCCAGUUCCCCAAGGAUUUUGGUGCAGGUUGGGAAAAAGCAGCUCAAGGCGGGGAAGAGGGGAAGCCUUCAGCCUCGCCGCACACCGGGGCUGGGGAAGGGGGACGGGCGCCCGGCACCGCUCUGGGAGGGCCGGAGGGUGCCGAAGCCCCUCGGGGCCGGGGACGUCGCACGGGGCACACCCAUGGGGCACACGGAGUGUGGCACGAGGCUCACACCGAUGCCACCAGACCCCAGCGGCCACCCCGGGCACCCCCAGCCCCUGCGGCGCGGGGACACCCGGCUGCGGGCGCGCGGCUCAGUCGGGGGAAGGAGCCUGGAAGAGGUUAAAGUGGGGCGAGCGGGGAGAGAAGCCUCGGAACGGGGCGUUUUAAUGACAUUCCAUUAAAGCUCCCUUUGGGGCCAGCGCGGCCGCCAUGUGCUCCACAUUCUCAUGGUAAUUAUGAGACAUCUGUAUAGAGGCUCUUUUCUCAUCAAAGAUGGCUCUCUUCAAAGACACUCCUGGGAAACCCUUCACCUCUGACCCGGGGGGUCAGCGCUGAAACAGUGGCUCUAUAGUGCGCGUUACUGUAAAGCCGAGUAUCCUUUUUCCUCCGCUAACCUGACCAGGUCCCGGCUUUUCAUGCGGGCCCGCGUUGAGCCGAGGGGGUGGGGGGCACCGGUUCGGGGACGGGUCCCCCCCCCACCCCUCCGGCGGUCACCGUUUCGGCAGCCCCGGCCACGGGUGCCGCCGCCGCCCGCGCUGACCCCGGCCGUGGCGAUCAAAGCGGGAAGAAAAGGGUUUUAAUGAGUGGGGCCGGGGCGGCGUUCUCCCUUCCCGAUGUCCUCCUCCCCGCUGCGCCACGGCAAAUCCCACCCCGGCUCCUGCGCCAAGUCCCUGGGGGUGAUUUUGGGGGGUCAUGAUACGAAAACAGCCCUCUCCAAACGGUGUUCCCAUUGCCGGGGACGUGCUCCACGGUGCCACCGGGCUCAACGCCGGUUCUGCAGCGUGGCGAGGCCACCCCGUGUCCCCGCAUCCCACGGGGACGUUUCCACCCCAAACAGCAUCGCCGCCCUCGGUGUCCCCCGGGUGCCACCUCCCCGGGGCAGGGGACAGCGGGGCGGAGGGGACGGGUGCUUGGCGGUCCCUCCCUUGGGGUGGCUCCGUCCCUCCGGCACGGCAGCGGCGCACGAUCCCCGCGGCCCUUUCCAAUAAGUGGCAAAUGAUUCUUCGUCCUGUCGCUCCCCGGCGGCAAUAAACCUUAAUCACAAUGAAGUCAUUUGAUUUCCGCGUCCUGUAAUCGCGCGGCGAUUUGGCGUUAAUUAACGAGCGCUUACGGGAAGGGACGGCUGCGGGAGAGAGCGCUGCGCUUUUCC